This 488-nucleotide ribosomal RNA is filed under the name uncultured bacterium. RNAcentral's name for it is "partial 16S ribosomal RNA". It matches the Rfam family "Bacterial small subunit ribosomal RNA", at positions 28 to 507 of the family's 1533-position model. The record is from RNAcentral.
GACGAACGCUGGCGGCGUGCUUAACACAUGCAAGUCGAACGGAAAGGCCCUGCUUUUGUGGGGUGCUCGAGUGGCGAACGGGUGAGUAACACGUGAGUAACCUGCCCUUGACUUUGGGAUAACUUCAGGAAACUGGGGCUAAUACCGGAUAGGAGCUCCUGCUGCAUGGUGGGGGUUGGAAAGUUUCGGCGGUUGGGGAUGGACUCGCGGCUUAUCAGCUUGUUGGUGGGGUAGUGGCUUACCAAGGCUUUGACGGGUAGCCGGCCUGAGAGGGGGACCGGCCACAAUGGAACUGAGACACGGUCCAGACUACUACGGGAGGCAGCAGUAGGGAAUCUGCCGCAAGGGGCGAAAGCCUGACGGAGCAACGCUGCGGGAGUGAUGAAGGUCUUCGGAUCGUAAAACUCGGUUAUUAGGGAAGAACAAAUGUGUAAGUAACUAUGCACGUCUUGACGGUACCUAAUAAGAAAGCCACGGCUAACUACGUG